This 497-nucleotide ribosomal RNA is filed under the name uncultured bacterium. RNAcentral describes it as "partial 16S ribosomal RNA". It matches the Rfam family "Bacterial small subunit ribosomal RNA", at positions 28 to 507 of the family's 1533-position model. The record is from RNAcentral.
GAUGAACGCUGGCGGCGUGCCUAAUACAUGCAAGUCGAGCGAACAGAUGAGGAGCUUGCUCCUCUGACGUUAGCGGCGGACGGGUGAGUAACACGUGGAUAACCUACCUAUAAGACUGGGAUAACUUCGGGAAACCGGAGCUAAUACCGGAUAAUAUAUUGAACCGCAUGGUUCAAUAGUGAAAGACGGUUUUGCUGUCACUUAUAGAUGGAUCCGCGCCGCAUUAGCUAGUUGGUAAGGUAACGGCUUACCAAGGCAACGAUGCGUAGCCGACCUGAGAGGGUGAUCGGCCACACUGGAACUGAGACACGGUCCAGACUCCUACGGGAGGCAGCAGUAGGGAAUCUUCCGCAAAUGGCGAAAGCCUGACGGAGCAACGCCGCGUGAGUGAUGAAGGUCUUCGGAUCGUAAAACUCUGUUAUUAGGGAAGAACAAAUGUGUAAGUAACUAUGCACGUCUUGACGGUACCUAAUCAGAAAGCCACGGCUAACUACGUG